GUUCACAUUCAAUCAGAUUCUCCCUCCGAACUUCGGAUGAAGCUGCCUAUGGAUGUGCUGCCCUUUCUCCUUUCCAAACGAAGUUCGGUCGUCUGUCUCCACACCACUACACAGCAGAGGGUGACACCACCUAUUAAGUCUCUCUUGGUUGUCAUCAGUGAGGGGGCGGCUGGCUGUGGACCUGCUCCAUGCUGGUGGCUUCAGAACGAUGUGGUGUCUUUAAAGGAACACAGGGGAGGAAGAGAGUGAGUGAACAGCAGGUGGACUUUCUGCUGUGCCGAAAUCAGUGCCUGGUGUUGUCUUUACUCACAGUCCUCUGAAGUGCUGUGUUGAUUGGCAGGAUGCACUUCUAUUUUCUUCUCCUCUGGUUGCUCUUCCUGAAGAGGGUGCAUGGAGUUGGCUGCACACGCACCUGGACCGGAAGGUGGGCGUGCCGUCCCUGUGCCCAGACGCACCCUGUUCGUGCUGCUCUGUGUCUGAGUCCCUCUCACCAGUCAGUUCAGGUCAGGACAGAGGCGGGACCAGCCGUCGUGGCUCCUCCCAGGCCUUCCCGACACCACCUGUCCGUCUGUCCUGCACACCACUGGUCUGUGCUCCUUGCCAGCUGAAUUUGGAGGGACAGCAAGCCUCCGGGGCACUUGGUGGAACCACACAGCAGAGAAGCCCUGGGUCCCUGAGUCCCUGUGUGGAGAGGAUGAGCCGUGGUGGCUCCCUGGCCCACAUCGUGGGACACAAGGACCAAGUAGAUUUCACCGAGCUCAAAUGCUGAAAAGUUAGUUAGGACCACUUACCAUUAUGACUUUCAUGGGCAGAGUCUCUGAUGGGCAAUUCAACUCUCCCUGGCUUGACUGCUGAGUAAGUGUCAGACUUUUGAUGAGUCACUUUGUGUCCCUCAUCUUCAUUUAGCCCCUGGCUGAAUGGGGUGUGUUGAUUCCACCCACCAGCAUUGCUUGUCCCUCUUCUCUGCCACGUUGGAAGAUAAAUCGAAGCCACCUGUGGAAGGAGAGCGCCUAUGAAGAUGAGGUAUCAUCAUUACCUCAUUCUGAGCACCCUUCUGCCAAGUACAUAGAAGAAAAUUAUUAAUCACCCCUUACCUGGACAGUGUCACCAUCCCACUGUUUUGUGACCCUUUGAAAAAGGCACAGUAUGACAAAGAUGAGGAAACAAGAACUCUUCUUCAGUGUGAGGCUGGUACUUCAUUUCUAACUGUUAUGCAGUUCCAGGACCCAGGAGCAACAGGAGUUGCGUUCCACUGAGCUGAUUUGUGUUACCAACCUUCUUGCAGGCAAGAUGCAGACAAUGAAAGAAUUUAAAGAGGUUGAGAAGGCCAAACUGCAUUCCAGAUGUCCAAGAAUUUCUAAUUCAAGGUGCUUUGUGACUUCAGAUGAGUGGCUUAGACUCCCUAUAAGUUACUUAGAGAGUGAAUUUUGUAAAGGGAGCAGGUAAUGGUUAAUAUUGUAGAAAUGGGAGGACUUCCGCCAAGAUGGAGGCGUAGGUAGAGAUGCCGUGCUUUCUCACACAACCAAGUUUAGAGACAACUAAAUAUUAGCAACGGAAAACACAGGCAGAACACAGAAAAUUGAACUUUUCAGAAGUCUGAUAACAACAAAUUCUUCAUUAUGACCAGUAAGGGGCAAAACCAGCAGCUGGCGGAGCGGGGUAGCACAGGAAAACUUGGUCAGACGGACUCAGGCGCUCGGAAUCCAGGCGCAGGGUUGGACCUAGUGAGAGACCCAGCGACCACGGGGAAACAGCGAGGGAGCAGGGCUGCGGGUUGACUGUGGUCUCGCAUUUGUGCACGCAUAGACAAGCGAGGGAGUGGGUGAUUGGACUGGGACCCAGUGGGUCCCCACGGUGAGCGGCAGCAGAGGGCGCCACCAUUUCCCCCGCUCUGACCCCACCUCCACAUACAGCGUCAUAACCCAGCGACCUGAGUGGCCCGGCCCUCGAGAACCACCUAAGGCUCUGCUCCUCACCCAGCGGUACGAAACAGCAGAGGGGGCCGCCAUUUCCCCACUCUGACCUCGCCCCACAUACAGCGUCACAACCCAGUGACCUAUGAGUCCAAGACUCCUCUCCUUAUACUUAAUGGGCGCGAACAGACCAAAAGUGGCUAAAGAAGAUCUCAAAGCCCCAGAGCCUAUAAAUCUAAGCAAUGAAGAAAUAGCAAAACUUUUA
Molecule: long non-coding RNA, 2178 nt
Organism: Artibeus jamaicensis (Jamaican fruit-eating bat)
Lineage: Eukaryota; Metazoa; Chordata; Mammalia; Chiroptera; Phyllostomidae
Exons: 3
Source: RefSeq, a predicted model, not a curated record